Long non-coding RNA from Mytilus californianus (California mussel), 4883 nucleotides. RefSeq lists it as uncharacterized. NCBI's taxonomy places the organism in Eukaryota, Metazoa, Mollusca, Bivalvia, Mytilida, Mytilidae. The record is from RefSeq and is a predicted model, not a curated record. The transcript has 7 exons.
AUGGAGUUCUCUGAAUCGCAUCGAAGUUGUCAUCCGAUAUUUCGGAAAUUGUCGUUAGGGAAAUAAUUAUGUGUACCUGCUGUGAACGCAUUAGUAAUAAACUAUUUACUUCUUUGCCGUGAAACUUGAAGUAUUUAAUCCCUUAAACAUGUAUAAGAUGAUCACCUUUUGCUAGGAAGCCUAAUUUGUGUCUAUGUUCUGUAUAUAACAUCAACAUGAAAUCCCAUGUUUUGGUCUUGUCUGCAUUGGUUAUAUUUGUUUGCUUAAUUAGUCAAGGUCUUCAAAACAAGCUUAUCUAUUCGACUGAAAAUGCAAUUAAAGAAAUCAACCUGCGCUCCGGGAACGUAUCAGUUCUCUUGUCAAAUUUAAUGAGUAACAUUUAUUCUUUGGAUUGUGAUUAUAAAACUGGGUAUAUCUAUUUUCCGAGACAUAAUUUAAACGUCAUAUCGAGAUUUCGUUAUCCAGCUGAUGAACCUUACAUAGUAGAAAAUGUGAUAACUGCAGCGGAACCAAUAGCACUAGUGAUUGAUCCAUUAGACGAAAAUGUAUAUUGGACAGAAUUAUACACAGGAAAGAUUUAUAGAUGUGAUUUAAAUGGCCUAAAUAAAACCUUUAUACUUCAAGAUGACAAACUAUAUGCUAUAACACUAGACUAUCGGAACAGAUGGUUGUAUUACAGUACCUUUGGAACGACAAGAAAAAUUAGGCGAGCAAGGUUAAAUGGUACCGAAAUACGGACAGUUAUAGACUCAGUAGAAGUAACUGGUUUGGGUAUAAAUACCAAUGGAUGGCGACUUUACUGGAUGGUACAUAACAUAGGUGAACUGAGAUCCUCAACUCUGAAUGGAACAAAUAUCAUUAAAGUUUUCAAUACGAAAAACUCAACAAGCAUAGGUAUCUAUGUACAUGAUAGCAAUAUCUACUGUACAAAUGGCCUCCAACUACUUAAGGUCACAACAUUGCCAGCAAAAACGGCGUAUGUUUUACACACAGAUACAGCAACAACUCAUGGUGUCCUUUUGUAUGAUGGUGGGUAUAUAUUUAAAUAUUAUGAAGGAAACAUUGAUAUUACCUAACAUAUCUCCUCGUUUUGUUUUAUAAUUGUUUUUGAAAGAGAGGCGACACAUAUCAAAGGGCCAUUCAAUCUCAAGACGAAAAUAAACUGAAAACGCCAUGGCAAAAAAGAAAGAAAAAACAACAGAAAUGGACCAAAAGACAAACAGCAGUAUACAAAAUACAUCAUAGUAAAAACUAACGACUGAGCAACACGAACCCCACCAAAAAUCGGGAGUGAUCUCAGGUGCUCCGAACGGGUAAGAAGAUCCUUCUCCAAAUCUAAGAAAAGAUCUGGUGAUAAGUCUAAUUUGGUAGGCACAUUCGAGGAAACGGGUACGGGAUUGUGGUGACAAUGAUAGGAACAAUUAGGACAUAUGUUAAUGAUUAAAUAUCCAUAAAAACUGUUAAAAUAUUUAGAUAAAUUGGAUUUUAAACUUAAUUAGAAUAGAUUAUCAAAUGCACGACGCGAUACAAGCUGGUAAAACGAAUGAUGACAUUUUUUUUAAAUUCUGUAUUUGUUCUUCAAUUUCAUUAUUAUGUGUUACAGAUGAACAAACACUAGAAAUGGUGUUGUUGUUGAUUUGCAUUAAUAUGACAUUGCGAAGAUAUUACGAUUGUUAUAUUGAAUUGUUAAACAAAUGUUUGUCUGAAUUGUGUGCAAUAGUUGGGUGCUGCUUGCGUUUUUAUGUAUGUUCUAAUUGAUAUAUUAAGUUAUUUUGCUUUUUUUUCUGUUUACUUACAUGAUUUAACAAAGAGAAACGUAUUGGUAAACCGCAAAAUGUAUCAAGUACGUUGAAUGCUAUAGUUCAUUACCAUGAAAAAGAUGAACAGUAGUUUAUUGAUGUAAACAAUCUUUGUAUAUACAAACCAAUAAAACAUGAAGAAACCAUAUGAACUUUAAAAGAGGGGCGAAAGAUGUUAAAUGUAAUAGGACCGGGUGCACCAAGAAAGAAAUUGUUUCCAAUGUAUGUAAUAGUAGAUCAGCAAUGGUAAUUUGAUCAAAAAUGUCACAAAAGGGGAAUUACUACGCAAUCAUAUAAAGUACAGCUCACUUGACUCUAACCACGUACGACCUCGAAAAAUUACAUCGUGAGGUAUCGCAAUAGCUACAAUUAACUUGCCUUUACAAACCUAUUGAUAUACAAAAAGAAAGCGCUCAAGUUCUCUGUAUUCUCUUAAACGAGGAUCAGUAACUUAAGUUCCGCUGUCUAAAAUUACUCUACAGAAACGUGCUUGCACAUACAAAUCGGUAUCAUUAUUAGUUUUAUAUUUAACGAGAUGUUACUACAUAUAAUUGUAAGCUUUACUAACCUUUUUAAUUGUCUGCUCUAGCAUUAUUAAUAGAACGAUAAUCCAUAAUUUUCCUGUUAUUUGUAUUCUGGUUCACUUAAUCAUAAAAGCAGUUCUAUAAUCUAACGAACUUUAGAGAAAGGAAAAGAACUAUUUUAUAUUGUCAUGUUACAUGCAUCUUUCUAUCAAUGUUUUAGUUAAUCUAAGUAAAAUUGUUUCAAACUUGAAAACGCAUUGUUAUUUUUUUUUUUUUUUUGCUUUGAAAAAAUGUUCAAUUGCAUAUUAGAUAUGUUUGAAAACCUUUAGCUAUCUUGGACUUCACGGGCAUCCAAAUGUGAGUAAUUAUCUUUUAAGUAUUCAUUUAUUAAAAACACUUCAAAAUCAGCACAUUUUAAAUAUGUUCUCGAAAUUCAAUGAUUUGUGCUUUUUCCGACCUAAAAGCUUGUGGAAACCCUUGGCCGCAACCUAGGAUCCAAAAUGUUUUGUAAACAAGAAUUGCCAAUGAUGAUAUUGAAUCCCUAGACAGAAAAACCUUCUAGAUACUGGGUGGCGGCCAAAGUAAAUUAUGGUAAAAACUGUCAAGAAUUAUUGAAAAUUUUACCUCAAAUGACGUUACAACUCAAAUAAGAGCCAAUACUUUGUCAUUUUUAAUAUGAUGUGCCAAAAUUAAGUUGUGUUGUAUUAAUUGUAAUAUCAUAACUAUUUCUAUGAAAAAAUUGUAGUAUUAUGGCCUGAUUAAAAAAUACAUCCAAAUCUGACGGCCAAUUUUAACCGUUCGUGAACGGAAACUUUACAAAGGUUUGUUUUAAUUCAUACGUUGAUGAUAACUUCAAGAAUUAAUAAUCCACUACAAACCGUAUCGACCAAGUGCUGAACUAAAACGAAAACAACACUGUAACACGUCUAAGCGCUUUCAUGGGUUAACCUUCAUCGGGAUCGCUUAAUGGUGAAGAUUCGAGAUAUUUAAGUUAUAAUAUUUGUUAUCUGGAAAUUGAACAAUUAAGGGGACAGUGGAUUAUAUAAAGGUUUUUGAUCGAUAGAGUAAAUGUGUAUGUUCAUACUAAAACUAUUUGUAUAUUCAAAAUAGUAAUUAACUAUCUUUUAACAAUUCUAUUAAUUAUGACCACGUAUGUUUCAGAUUGGGAUUACCACGAACAUACCUGACUUACAUUCCCAGUUGUUAAAGUAAUGAUAAAUCAAGCUUUUUAUUAUAAUACAUUAAAUGACUGAGUUGCAAUCACCAACACAGACAUAUGGGAUGAAAUAUGCAUGCAGUUACCAACGCUGCAUUUUUGACAGAGACAAAAUAUUGAACAUUCGGUGCACAUUCUUAACAUUGCUCAAAACGAUAAUUGUGACCAUUAUCAUUCUUGUGAUAUUAAUAGCACUUAGAUACAAUAAACAAUCAUUGUUUAGUAAUAUAAUGGAUCUGUUCAGUGACAUACUGGUAACUUUGAUGAAAAGAAACUGAACAAUAACAAUAUUUUUCUGCCAGAAGAUGUAUACAUACAUAUGUAUAUUUUAAUCUUUAUGAUAGACAAUAAACAAAAAGGAAUGUUUAUCAUAUAUGAAGUCUAGCAAUUACACUUUUGAUCGACAACGACAUGGCAGAAACUAGAGGCAUAUGUAUAUGAUGCAAUGGGUUCUUUACUUUUUUAAUAAAUCAGAACAAUAAAUAAGACUUAAUGAUAAUGUUAAAAAAAAAAUUCAUCAGUCUUUGCUUAACAUUGUAAAUAUUAGUAAGUAAUUGUGACUUAUACAACUGCUUGAAAUUGGUUUUACUGUUUGUAAGUCAUGUUUCUGAUAUAUUAAAAAAGAUUCUUUUUUUAAUUUUAUUAUGAUUAUAGUCAGAAGCGUCUUUUUAGUUCAGCUCUGUUAUUACAUUUUUUUUUCAGGUCAUACUUAUAUUUUGUGAUAUUAUAAAAUAUAUUAUGGAAUGAUUUAUAAUGUAAAUUCAGAAAUUAUUCCUUGCAUUUAUUAUAUUGCGAUUUUUGAAGAAUGGACAAAAAUUCGAGAUUAAUCAUGUUAAUUAUUGCUAUUUCAUGAACAUAUAUAUACCAAUAUCUUUAUCAGAUAUUCGAAUACGAGUUCUUAUUAUCAUUCAGUCUCAUUUUGGUAAUUUACAAUAGGCUUAAUUAAUGUAAAUUCAGACUUGGUGAUUAUCGACUAGUUUUCAUCAUGAACCAAUAUAACAUCAAUAAUCAUAGGUUCUCGUUUAUCAUUACUAAAAUUAUAUUGGAAAUGUACAUUUCAGGGAAGAUUUUGACUUUUUAAGUUCAAAAAUUUUGACUGUUCACAUACGUGACAAUUUUUAUAUUGUAAAAAUGGACGAUAUUGUAAUUAAUCAUUAUAUACAGAUCUAACAUGUUGUUUUUCAAAAAUGUUCAGUCAUAUGAUGGCUUAGUGUUGGUCUUGUGUGAUAGAUAUACAUGUAUAUAAACUAUGGUUAAUUUGCUGAUUGUGGAACUUUAACAUGUUUAACGUGUUUUAAAAUUGUUACUAUAGAAUGAAACUUUAGAAUAUAUUUUUUUAAUUGU